Molecule: ribosomal RNA, 253 nt
Filed under: uncultured bacterium
Lineage: Bacteria
Description: partial 16S ribosomal RNA
Rfam family: Bacterial small subunit ribosomal RNA
Source: RNAcentral
UACGAAGGGGGCUAGCGUUGCUCGGAAUCACUGGGCGUAAAGCACACGUAGGCGGAUUGUUAAGUCAGGGGUGAAAUCCUGGAGCUCAACUCCAGAACUGCCUUUGAUACUGGCGAGCUUGAGUCCGGGAGAGGUGAGUGGAACUGCGAGUGUAGAGGUGAAAUUCGUAGAUAUUCGCAAGAACACCAGUGGCGAAGGCGGCUCACUGGCCCGGUACUGACGCUGAGGUGCGAAAGCGUGGGGAGCAAACAGG